Molecule: ribosomal RNA, 253 nt
Filed under: uncultured bacterium
Lineage: Bacteria
Description: partial 16S ribosomal RNA
Rfam family: Bacterial small subunit ribosomal RNA
Source: RNAcentral
UACGGAGGAUGCAAGCGUUAUCCGGAAUGAUUGGGCGUAAAGAGUCCGUAGGUGGUUAUUCAAGUCGAUUGUUAAAGAGCGGGGCUUAACCCCGUAGAAGCAGUGGAAACUGAAUAACUAGAGAGAGGUAGGGGUAGAGGGAAUUCCCGGUGUAGCGGUGAAAUGCGUAGAGAUCGGGAAGAACACCAGUGGCGAAAGCGCUCUACUGGACCUCAUCUGACACUGAGGGACGAAAGCUAGGGGAGCGAAAGGG